ACAUGGCUGCUAUUUUAAAAAGUACGUGACCUCAUCCUAAAGCUGUAGUACCUAAUGUUUCAGUUGUAUCUUCAUCGAAACUAUAGCUCACUGGUGUGCAUACUAAGUGUCUGUUGAUCUAAACCAAGCAUAACUCAUCUGCUUUUCUGAAACUAAGAUGAGUCAGAGAUGAAACACCUGCUCAAAGAAUCUUCUUAGGAACCAUACAGUGAAGAAGCUUGUAUUUCUAAUGUUAGCAGUUGGACAUUGCUAACACUAAUUUUACUGCAGUAUUUUAACUACAGUAAUUUUGCUGUUUACUUCUCUAUAAACUUACUAAAAUUUGUGGUUGAAUUUUUCCAUAGCUGCCACAGUUUUUCACAGCAUUCCUAACGGUUUUCAGCUGCUAUAUUGUAGUAGAAAAUUCAUCCAGUCAUUGGAUUUGAUCUUGGUAUAAUACUGUAUCUCAUGGUUGAGUUUUUAGUUCCUGCCAUUAUUGAGUUGAAAGAAAAAAACAAAACCAAAACUAAGUGACAAAAACAUGGGGGAAAAAGGAAUGACUUUCUUAAAACCAUCCAACUAAAUACUAAAUAUCCCCCCCAUGUAAAGCCUCUAGUUUAUUGUAACCUUUUAAUGGGUAAUUGAAAGGGGGAAAAAGUCAAAAUACUUUUCCAGUCAGUAGGUGGAAAAAAAAAACUAUGCUUCAGGGACAAAAGAUAAUAAGAAUUAUUGAUAAAGAGCUAUUAUGUGUCAAACUUAAGGCAUUUAAAUUUGAUUUUUAAGGCUAAUGAAGUUUUUCAUAUAUCAAACUAUUUAAAACAUCUUCCAUUAACAAAAAUUUAUCUUUCGUUUUUUAAAUAUCAAGUUAAGUGUAACAUUUAUAUAUUCCUAUGGAAAAAUAAUGGUACUUUUAAUGAUCUGACAUUUGUGAUUAUUUGCCAGUCUUUACUUUUUAACUUAUUAAGAUUUCUCUACUUACAACUUAUAAUUUGUCUUUUGACUUUUAGGGAAAUAUCCGGUGGGAUAUUUACAGCCCAGCCUUAAUAUUGGGUCGUGUUUCAUAGAGCUAAAGUCAGUGCAUUUCUGAAUUUCUCAGGAGCACUGCAAGGCAAAAAAACGGCUCCAAAUAAAAAUGAUAUAUGUAAGUUGGCAAUGUCUUCAUCCACAAUAAAAAAAAAACUUUUUAGC
This 1167-nucleotide long non-coding RNA is filed under the name Phocoena sinus (vaquita). Its description in RNAcentral is "lncRNA (ENSPSNG00000000035.1)". The record is from RNAcentral. Lineage: Eukaryota; Metazoa; Chordata; Mammalia; Artiodactyla; Phocoenidae.